Molecule: small nucleolar RNA, 144 nt
Filed under: Echinops telfairi (small Madagascar hedgehog)
Lineage: Eukaryota; Metazoa; Chordata; Mammalia; Afrosoricida; Tenrecidae
Source: RNAcentral
UAGGCCAUUCAUUGAGCUAGAGAAGACUAGCAGUUACAUGUAGCUGUUGGUUUCAAGCAGAGGCCCAAAGGAUUAUCUGCCGGUGGUCUUUGGCAGUUCUGAAACUUCAGCCGAGAAUGGCCAUUUCCUUUGGAAGAAACAUCC